GUAAAAAACUUUGGUCUCAUUACUCAGUCUCCCAAAAGCAAUAUCUUUUUGGAAGGUCCAAGUGUUUUUUAUAACCAUUAAAUAUACAAAAGCAACAUUUCUCAUUCCCAUCCCCCAUUCAGACUUAUACACUAAUUAAUAAGUGGAAGUUUGGAAGCUGACUCAAACAGAGUUCUGAUUUCUCUGCAAAACCCCAUCAGUUUUGUCUCCUUGUCUCUCUCCUUUGUCCCAGCUGCGUCCGCUUAUAACUCCAGUUUCUCCCACAUAUCCUCCCUUCUUAUAUUUAUUUUCAUAUUCCCAAGAACAUAUUCUGUUUUCUUUGCAAGUGACAUAAUUUCUGAGGGGCAAGGGACAGCAUGAAGAGUGACUGGCUUGAAACAACAUGCUUUUGACUGCGAGCCAGGAGGCCAAAGGCAGAGGAGCCAUUUUGACGCCAAAAACAAGAUGAAUCUGGAUGGAAUCAGCAAACACGGAAUAUGAUAACACCAGGGUCAGCCAGGAAAAGAUGGUGCGUGCAAGCCUCAGUUGUCCUGUGUGUGGCAAUAGACAUCCUACCCAUCCUGUGGUUGGGCAGCCAGGCAAGAGCUCUGGGAAAGGCAGCGUUCUUCCUCUGAGGAAUAAAGCAAAGAGAUGGAAGGACUGUUUGCACCACAGCUUGGAACUCCACAAAUGAAAGCUCUUCCAGGCACUGAUCAACCCACAUUUUAAGAGGUAUUCAGUACUUCAAAGAUGCCAGCUGAGC
Pipra filicauda (Wire-tailed manakin) is the source of this 742-nucleotide long non-coding RNA. RefSeq lists it as uncharacterized. NCBI's taxonomy places the organism in Eukaryota, Metazoa, Chordata, Aves, Passeriformes, Pipridae. The transcript is spliced from 4 exons. The record is from RefSeq and is a predicted model, not a curated record.